AAUAAGUUAUAGCAUUAUAAAGUUAAAUAUAAUAUGAAUAAUAAAAUCGAGAAUUUUCACACGAAAAUAGCAUUCGGUAGCCAUUUUCGCCGUGAAGAAAAGUCCAGAGGUCAAAUUUUUUUUUUUCAAAUUAAAGUAUAUUACAUUAGCUUUAAUUUAAGGUAUAUAUAAAAUUGUCAGUCUUUCCGGAACAUUUUCAAAAGUUAAGUUGAAAAAGUUAAUUUUUUGUAAAAAAGUUACCAUUUUGAAACCCCAUCCUUUGGGCUGUUAAAGGGUCAAA
Daktulosphaira vitifoliae (grape phylloxera) is the source of this 280-nucleotide long non-coding RNA. RefSeq lists it as uncharacterized. Lineage: Eukaryota; Metazoa; Arthropoda; Insecta; Hemiptera; Phylloxeridae. The transcript has 2 exons. The record is from RefSeq and is a predicted model, not a curated record.